ACGGGAGGCAGCAGUGAGGAAUAUUGGUCAAUGGAGGCAACUCUGAACCAGCCAUCUCGCGUGAAGGAAUACGGCCCUAUGGGUCUUAAACUUCUUUUAUAGGGGGAUAAAGUGAGGCAUGUAUGCCUUUUUGUAGGUACCCUAUGAAUAAGCAUCGGCUAACUCCGUGCCAGCAGCCGCGGUAAUACGGAGGAUGCGAGCGUUAUCCGGAUUUAUUGGGUUUAAAGGGUGCGCAGGCGGCACGUUAAGUCAGCGGUGAAAUGCAGGGGCUCAACCCCGGCACUGCCGUUGAAACUGGCGAGCUCGAGUACGGAUGAAGUCGGCGGAAUGUGAUGUGUAGCGGUGAAAUGCUUAGAUAUGUCGCAGAACACCGAUUGCGAAGGCAGCUGACUAAUCCGCAACUGACGCUCAGGCACGAAAGCGUGGGGAUCGAACAGGAUUAGAUACCCUGGUA
This 454-nucleotide ribosomal RNA is filed under the name uncultured Parabacteroides sp. Its description in RNAcentral is "partial 16S ribosomal RNA". It matches the Rfam family "Bacterial small subunit ribosomal RNA", at positions 341 to 792 of the family's 1533-position model. The record is from RNAcentral. Lineage: Bacteria; Pseudomonadati; Bacteroidota; Bacteroidia; Bacteroidales; Tannerellaceae.